This 426-nucleotide ribosomal RNA is filed under the name uncultured bacterium. RNAcentral describes it as "bacterial SSU rRNA". It matches the Rfam family "Bacterial small subunit ribosomal RNA", at positions 356 to 774 of the family's 1533-position model. The record is from RNAcentral.
UAAGAAUAUUCCGCAAUGGACGAAAGUCUGACGGAGCGACGCCGCGUGGAUGAAGAAGGCCGCAAGGUUGUAAAAUCCUUUUGCUGGGGAAGAAUAAGUCCAGGAGGGAAUGCCUGGAUGAUGACAUGAACCGGCGAAUAAGCCCCGGCCAACUACGUGCCAGCAGCCGCGGUAACACGUAGGGGGCAAGCGUUGUUCGGAAUUACGGGGCGUAAAGGGCAUGUAGGCGGUUUAGUAAGCUUGGCGUGAAAGACCACAGCUCAACUGUGGGGUUGCGUUGAGAACUGCUGAACUUGAGUUACGGAGAGGGAGCUAGAAUUCCUGGUGUAGGGGUGGAAUCUGUAGAGAUCAGGAAGAAUACCGAUGGCGAAGGCAAGCUUCUGGCCGAUAACUGACGCUGAGGUGCGAAAGUGUGGGGAUCAAACA